This 120-nucleotide ribosomal RNA is filed under the name uncultured bacterium. RNAcentral's name for it is "partial 16S ribosomal RNA". It matches the Rfam family "Bacterial small subunit ribosomal RNA", at positions 29 to 157 of the family's 1533-position model. The record is from RNAcentral.
AACGAACGCUGGCGGCAGGCUUAACACAUGCAAGUCGAACGCGUGUAGCAAUACACGAGUGGCGCACGGGUGAGUAACGCGUGGAUAUCUGCCUUUUGGUUCGGAAUAACCUUGGGAAAC